AAUAUGUGAUAAAAUAUUAAUAAUUACAUAGGUUAUAAUUGUUGAAAUAAAUAAAUAAAUAGUGGGUGAGACAGUGUUUGUGUAAGGUAGGUAGGUAUAUAGAUAAAAUGUAAUAUGUACAAUCUGUAUCAAAUGUAUUGAGUAAUAAAUAUUAAAUAUUAGAAAGGGUAGAAUGAGUAGAAAUACAAAACAUAAACUAAAAGUAAAUAAAAGUGCACAAUAGUAGUAGGUACUAUUAGCCGUACACAAUGCCAGCCAAUCAUGGUACCGCCUACUUACUUAUAAGCAGUGGCGGGUAGCCAUUAUGAAACGGCACCCACAGCCUGCAGCGUGAAAAUAUUUUUCAGUAUCCGGGCGCGACCCGUUCAGUGUGCCCGCGUCAUCCCGCCAGCCGUGCGUAGAUAACGGGACGAGGCGGCGCCCGCGCACCCACGCCCGGAUACCUACCAAAUGAAGUACCCCACGAACAGCUAGCAACAAUCAUUAUACUCCAGUGUAUAAGUACCUAAAGUGAUACAUAAUGUUAAUUUCAUUACAUGAUGAAGGCUGCGUUGACCAAAAUAAAAGGGUCAAUUUAAGCAGCAGAGUAACCGGAAUAAAAAACAGCAACACCAGAUGUUAUGAUGAUAAGUUUGGUGAUGAUCUACUGCGUGCAGCUUGCAGCUAGGCAGUCUGGAACCGUGUCACAACCAUGGAACACCGAGUCCUUGCUGUACGUGAAUACCUACGAAGUCACGUAGGGGUGGCCUCAGCGUGUUCCAUAUGAAGCUGGCUGUGAAUCGGAACGAGUGGCGAAACAAAGCGGUUUUGUGCUUCGGAGUGACCAUAAGA
Molecule: long non-coding RNA, 831 nt
Organism: Plutella xylostella (diamondback moth)
Lineage: Eukaryota; Metazoa; Arthropoda; Insecta; Lepidoptera; Plutellidae
Source: RefSeq, a predicted model, not a curated record